This 1382-nucleotide ribosomal RNA is filed under the name uncultured bacterium. RNAcentral describes it as "bacterial SSU rRNA". It matches the Rfam family "Bacterial small subunit ribosomal RNA", at positions 18 to 1395 of the family's 1533-position model. The record is from RNAcentral.
CCUGGCUCAGGAUGAACGCUAGCUACAGGCUUAACACAUGCAAGUCGAGGGGCAGCAUGGUCUUAGCUUGCUAAGGCCGAUGGCGACCGGCGCACGGGUGAGUAACACGUAUCCAACCUGCCGUCUACUCUUGGACAGCCUUCUGAAAGGAAGAUUAAUACAAGAUGGCAUCAUGAGUCCGCAUGUUCACAUGAUUAAAGGUAUUCCGGUAGACGAUGGGGAUGCGUUCCAUUAGAUAGUAGGCGGGGUAACGGCCCACCUAGUCUUCGAUGGAUAGGGGUUCUGAGAGGAAGGUCCCCCACAUUGGAACUGAGACACGGUCCAAACUCCUACGGGAGGCAGCAGUGAGGAAUAUUGGUCAAUGGGCGAGAGCCUGAACCAGCCAAGUAGCGUGAAGGAUGACUGCCCUAUGGGUUGUAAACUUCUUUUAUAAAGGAAUAAAGUCGGGUAUGGAUACCCGUUUGCAUGUACUUUAUGAAUAAGGAUCGGCUAACUCCGUGCCAGCAGCCGCGGUAAUACGGAGGAUCCGAGCGUUAUCCGGAUUUAUUGGGUUUAAAGGGAGCGUAGAUGGAUGUUUAAGUCAGUUGUGAAAGUUUGCGGCUCAACCGUAAAAUUGCAGUUGAUACUGGAUAUCUUGAGUGCAGUGAGGGCAGGCGGAAUUCGUGGUGUAGCGGUGAAAUGCUUAGAUAUCACGAAGAACUCCGAUUGCGAAGGCAGCCUGCUAAGCUGCAACUGACAUUGAGGCUCGAAAGUGUGGGUAUCAAACAGGAUUAGAUACCCUGGUAGUCCACACGGUAAACGAUGAAUACUCGCUGUUUGCGAUAUACUGCAAGCGGCCAAGCGAAAGCGUUAAGUAUUCCACCUGGGGAGUACGCCGGCAACGGUGAAACUCAAAGGAAUUGACGGGGGCCCGCACAAGCGGAGGAACAUGUGGUUUAAUUCGAUGAUACGCGAGGAACCUUACCCGGGCUUAAAUUGCAGAUGAAUUACGGUGAAAGCCGUAAGCCGCAAGGCAUCUGUGAAGGUGCUGCAUGGUUGUCGUCAGCUCGUGCCGUGAGGUGUCGGCUUAAGUGCCAUAACGAGCGCAACCCUUGUUGUCAGUUACUAACAGGUUCCGCUGAGGACUCUGACAAGACUGCCAUCGUAAGAUGUGAGGAAGGUGGGGAUGACGUCAAAUCAGCACGGCCCUUACGUCCGGGGCUACACACGUGUUACAAUGGGGGGUACAGAGGGCCGCUACCACGCGAGUGGAUGCCAAUCCCCAAAACCUCUCUCAGUUCGGACUGGAGUCUGCAACCCGACUCCACGAAGCUGGAUUCGCUAGUAAUCGCGCAUCAGCCACGGCGCGGUGAAUACGUUCCCGGGCCUUGUACACACCGCCC